Long non-coding RNA from Lutra lutra (Eurasian river otter), 1182 nucleotides. RefSeq lists it as uncharacterized. The record is from RefSeq and is a predicted model, not a curated record. The transcript is spliced from 3 exons. Lineage: Eukaryota; Metazoa; Chordata; Mammalia; Carnivora; Mustelidae.
CAGGCGAGUCCCGCGCUUUCUCGAGGGAGGGCAGCGGGGCAAAUGGGACCACGUGCCCUUAGGGAAGCGGCCAUUCCUAACUCCCAGCCACUCCGGCAGCGGUGGGGCCCUAAGGACUUGUUCAAGGGGGACCAGGACUAGAAGACUGGCUGUCCAGCCCCAGGCAGCAGUGCCUCCUGGAGAUAAACACAGGGCUGUGCAUACCCUCCAAGAGGACACAGCCAGCCUGGGAGGAGUCAGAGGUGGCUUCUAGAGAAAGUGCUAUCGCAAGGACUCCCACUUCAUGGAGAGUUGGCCCACGUGACCCUAAGGAUCCUUGCAGUGCUGCCUGCUGGCUCCUGGUGGCUGCAGCUCCUGCUCCUGUGGUUGUCCCAGUGGACCGAAGUGGCUUGGGAGAUGCGGCAGAGCCAGGCCUUGGAAAAGGCAAGUUUCCAGUCUGGAAAGCAGAGUGGGCCGGCUGGGAAGGGGCUUCUGGGAAGGAGGGUUGUGGGAGGCCCUCCACCCCUACUGCUCUGCCUGGGCUGGGGGAAGGGCCUUUAUUCCUUCCGCUCUUGGAGGCAGGGGCCACCUGGGGCAUGGGAGGAGGGGUGGCUUAAGACUGCCAGUUUCCACUUGGAAGCCCUCUUUAUUUGGCCAGGGAUGGAGAAAGGCUGGGGUCAGAGUGCAUGCAUCCCCAUGGAAACAGCAAUGAGCCUGGCCCCUCAGGGACCCUGGCCCUGGCAGGGGAUGGGGCUCCUUCAGCUAAGGGGUCUGGGCCUUGCCUUUGGCAGGAGCUCUUACAGGAAGGUCAAGCCAUGAGCUGCAGUACCUGUGGCAAGGAGGAGCAGGGAGGCAGAGCGUCCUUGGGCCAAAGCCGCCCUGGGGACAAGGAGGGGAGCUUGUAUUGUGCCUUCCAGAGCUGUAUGCCCAGAGUGGGUGGUUAAUGCGACCCACUGUAAGACCUUGCGACCAGGGGACUCCCCAUGAAUCUUGAUCUUUUGUUCUGUUGUUGUGGGGCUUGGCCCAGGUCCAGCAACCAGGCCUGGAGUCCUCUGGUCCUAAAGGCCUUGCCCAGCUUGGCUUUGGCCUGAGAGCUGGGGGAGGGGUGUGCUGCUGUGGGAGCUGAGACGGAGGGCAGCUGAACCCCUCAAAAGGCCAGAGCAGGGUAGCCAUCCAUCAUCUGUAAUCACCUGCCUUUGAGUC